AUUAGAUUUACCGUGGACGAUCCAAUCUUCCAAGUCGGUACAUGACCCUUAAAUUGCUUUUUCGCUUUAAUUUGGGCCAAUUUUGAAACUUGCAGAUGCUUUCACGGAUAAGAAGCGCAGAGUGAAAUCUAAAUCUCAGGGUCAUUUUCCACGAGGUAAGGAAAUCUCCAGACAUUUGCAAGAUCGACGGCAAAUCCGAUGACAGAGAGAAGAAAAUCGACUUUGCCGGACCACGUUUCCCUGCCGUCGACGCUGCCGUUCAACUUUGGCGCAUUCUUCACCACCCUCGACGACAUGUCUCAGUUUCC
Molecule: long non-coding RNA, 308 nt
Organism: Apis laboriosa (Himalayan honeybee)
Lineage: Eukaryota; Metazoa; Arthropoda; Insecta; Hymenoptera; Apidae
Exons: 2
Source: RefSeq, a predicted model, not a curated record